AAGUCGUAACAAGGUUUCCGUAGGUGAACCUGCGGAAGGAUCAUUAACACGUGAUACUCACGUAUUAAUCCACCGAGAAUUUGUUAUUAACCUAUUGUUGAUUGUAAACAGGCUCUGUUGAAGGAAUGCUAUUGGUCGCCUUUCGAAAGAUUGUACACCAUAAUUCACUGAGUCGUUCAAUGGUCCGCCCAUGAGUUAUUCAGCCUGUAGCAUAGCUUGCAGCUCGUAGUGAACUUAUUAACCCCUUUACUAUUAUUUACUGAUUUUGUAUGUUUAUAUGAAUUCCUGACUCGUAAGGGUUGGUUGAGUUUGUAUAGAUGUCGUAUAUUUACUAAUACGAAACAACUCUUAGCAACGGAUAUCUUGGUUCUC
RNAcentral lists this unclassified non-coding RNA (372 nucleotides) under fungal sp. RNAcentral's name for it is "partial internal transcribed spacer region". The stretch from base 1 to 46 matches the Rfam family "Eukaryotic small subunit ribosomal RNA", at positions 1786 to 1831 of the family's 1831-position model. Lineage: Eukaryota; Fungi. The record is from RNAcentral.